Molecule: ribosomal RNA, 450 nt
Filed under: uncultured bacterium
Lineage: Bacteria
Description: bacterial SSU rRNA
Rfam family: Bacterial small subunit ribosomal RNA
Source: RNAcentral
UUCGCAAUGCCCGAAAGGGUGACGGAGCGACGCCGCGUGCAGGAUGAAGUCCUUCGGGAUGUAAACUGCUGUCAGAGGAAAGAAAGUUCUGAUCGACCUCAGAGGAAGGCACGGCUAACUCUGUGCCAGCAGCCGCGGUAAGACAGAGGUGCCAAGCGUUAGGCGGAAUCACUGGGCUUAAAGCGUGUGUAGGCGGAUCGUUAAGUGCCUUGUGAAAUCCCACGGCUCAACCGUGGAAAGGCUGGGCAUACUGGCGGUCUUGAGCUGCCUAGGGGCAACUGGAACAAACGGUGGAGCGGUGAAAUGCGUAGAUAUCGUUUGGAACGCCAACGGUGAAAACAGGUUGCUGGGGGCAAGCUGACGCUGAGACACGAGAGCCAGGGGAGCAAACGGGAUUAGAUACCCCGGUAGUCCUGGCCCUAAACGAUGGGCACUAAGUAGAGGGGUUUU